GGUCCGAGCGUUGUCCGGAAUUACUGGGCGUAAAGAGCUCGUAGGUGGUUUGUCGCGUUGUUCGUGAAAACUCACAGCUCAACUGUGGGCGUGCGGGCGAUACGGGCAGACUGGAGUACUGCAGGGGCGACUGGAAUUCCUGGUGUAGCGGUGGAAUGCGCAGAUAUCAGGAGGAACACCGGUGGCGAAGGCGGGUCUCUGGGCAGUAACUGACGCUGAGGAGCGAAAGCGUGGGGAGCGAACAGGAUUAGAUAC
This 255-nucleotide ribosomal RNA is filed under the name Mycobacterium sp. ITM-2017-0098. Its description in RNAcentral is "partial 16S ribosomal RNA". It matches the Rfam family "Bacterial small subunit ribosomal RNA", at positions 531 to 785 of the family's 1533-position model. The record is from RNAcentral. Lineage: Bacteria; Bacillati; Actinomycetota; Actinomycetes; Mycobacteriales; Mycobacteriaceae.